Molecule: transfer RNA, 73 nt
Filed under: Bacteriophage sp.
Description: tRNA-Ile
Rfam family: tRNA
About the family: Transfer RNA (tRNA) molecules are approximately 80 nucleotides in length. Their secondary structure includes four short double-helical elements and three loops (D, anti-codon, and T loops).
Source: RNAcentral
GGCCUAUUAGCUCAGUGGUUAGAGCGUCACUCUUAUAAAGUGUGCGUGCCGGGUUCGAUUCCUGGAUAGGCCA